UCCAGGAGGACGCUCGCCUUCCACUGUCCACAGCCCCCAGGUGGGAAGGCCUUUUGGGGGCGGUCAGGCCACCUGCAGGAACAGAGUUCGAACCUUGUUCUAGAACGCGUCAUGGAAGUCAGCCUCCCUCCCCACCCUGGUUUCAGAUGUAGAAACUGAAACCCAGCUUGGGGACCGCCUUCCUGAGGACACAACGCUGGAAGAGUGUGUGAUGUCACGCCAGCCUCAGGGGAGGGUGCCGGCAGUCUUGCCCGGGCCACCAGCAACAGUGGCUCUCGAGGAAGGACCCGGAAGUUGGCCCGCAAAGCUGGCCCCAACCCACUCUGAUCUGUGGUCCCCUCCAUGGUUGCAGGAAGAGUGGUCUCUUUUGUCUUGGCUUACGAUCGUCCAGUCGGGGUGUCCUGGGGAGCACAUUGGACUCAUA
RNAcentral lists this long non-coding RNA (424 nucleotides) under Homo sapiens (human). RNAcentral's name for it is "HSALNT0177399". The record is from RNAcentral. Lineage: Eukaryota; Metazoa; Chordata; Mammalia; Primates; Hominidae.